GACGAACGCUGGCGGCGUGCUUAACACAUGCAAGUCGAACGAAGAGCGAUGGAAGCUUGCUUCUAUCAAUCUUAGUGGCGAACGGGUGAGUAACGCGUAAUCAACCUGCCCUUCAGAGGGGGACAACAGUUGGAAACGACUGCUAAUACCGCAUACGAUCUAAUCUCGGCAUCGAGGAUAGAUGAAAGGUGGCCUCUACAUGUAAGCUAUCACUGAAGGAGGGGAUUGCGUCUGAUUAGCUAGUUGGAGGGGUAACGGCCCACCAAGGCGAUGAUCAGUAGCCGGUCUGAGAGGAUGAACGACCACAUUGGGACUGAGACACGGCCCAGACUCCUACGGGAGGCAGCAGUGGGGAAUCUUCCGCAAUAGACGAAAGUCUGACGGAGCAACGCCGCGUGAGUGAUGACGGCCUUCGGGUUGUAAAGCUCUGUUAAUCGGGACGAAAGGCCUUCUUGCGAAUAGUGAGAAGGAUUGACGGUACCGGAAUAGAAAGCCACGGCUAACUACGUG
Molecule: ribosomal RNA, 510 nt
Filed under: uncultured bacterium
Lineage: Bacteria
Description: partial 16S ribosomal RNA
Rfam family: Bacterial small subunit ribosomal RNA
Source: RNAcentral